This 274-nucleotide unclassified non-coding RNA is filed under the name Ascomycota sp. RNAcentral's name for it is "partial contains small subunit ribosomal RNA, internal transcribed spacer 1, and 5.8S ribosomal RNA". The stretch from base 1 to 47 matches the Rfam family "Eukaryotic small subunit ribosomal RNA", at positions 1785 to 1831 of the family's 1831-position model. Lineage: Eukaryota; Fungi; Ascomycota. The record is from RNAcentral.
AAAGUCGUAACAAGGUUUCCGUAGGUGAACCUGCGGAAGGAUCAUUAAAAGUUUUAGUUAUACUUCACGUAUAUACUUUAAUAAACCCAUUCCGCGUACCUUACCCAUUGCUUCCGCUGAGCUGGACCUCGGUCCGCUCUGACUAUGCCCUUGCGGCGUACGAUGAGUAGUCUCAGCGGGAGGUAUACAUUAAACUCUUGCAUUUCCAUGUCAUCUGUCUGAAUACUGUUUAUAACAAAUGUUAAAACUUUCAACAACGGAUCUCUUGGUUCUC